This 429-nucleotide ribosomal RNA is filed under the name Verrucomicrobiota bacterium. Its description in RNAcentral is "Verrucomicrobia bacterium partial 16S ribosomal RNA". It matches the Rfam family "Bacterial small subunit ribosomal RNA", at positions 355 to 776 of the family's 1533-position model. Lineage: Bacteria; Pseudomonadati; Verrucomicrobiota. The record is from RNAcentral.
UAGGGAAUCUUCGGCAAUGGGGGGAACCCUGACCGAGCAACGCCGCGUGAGUGAAGAAGGUUUUCGGAUCGUAAAGCUCUGUUGUUACGGAAGAACGAGUGUGAGAAUGGAAAGUUCAUGCUGUGACGGUACUUAACCAGAAAGGGACGGCUAACUACGUGCCAGCAGCCGCGGUAAUACGUAGGUCCCGAGCGUUGUCCGGAUUUAUUGGGCGUAAAGCGAGCGCAGGCGGUUAGAAAAGUCUGAAGUGAAAGGCAGUGGCUCAACCAUUGUAGGCUUUGGAAACUGUUUAACUUGAGUGCAGAAGGGGUGAGUGGAAUUCCAUGUGUAGCGGUGAAAUGCGGAGAUAUAUGGAGGAACACCGGUGGCGAAAGCGGCUCUCUGGUCUGUAACUGACGCUGAGGCUCGAAAGCGUGGGGAGCGAACAGG